Molecule: ribosomal RNA, 253 nt
Filed under: uncultured bacterium
Lineage: Bacteria
Description: partial 16S ribosomal RNA
Rfam family: Bacterial small subunit ribosomal RNA
Source: RNAcentral
UACAGAGGUCCCAAGCGUUGUUCGGAUUCAUUGGGCGUAAAGGGUGCGUAGGCGGCGGGGCAAGUCUGGUGUGAAAUCCCGGGGCUCAACCCCGGAACUGCACUGGAUACUGCCUUGCUAGAGUACUGGAGAGGGAACUGGAAUUUACGGUGUAGCAGUGAAAUGCGUAGAGAUCGUAAGGAAGACCAGUGGCGAAGGCGAGUUCCUGGACAGUAACUGACGCUGAGGCACGAAGGCCAGGGGAGCAAACGGG